CUCAGGAUGAACGCUGGCGGCGUGCUUAACACAUGCAAGUCGAACGGGAAACCUUUUAUUGAAGCUUCGGCAGAUUUAGAUGUUUCUAGUGGCGGACGGGUGAGUAACGCGUGGGUAACCUGCCUUAUACAGGGGGGAUAGCAGUCAGAAAUGACUGCUAAUACCGCAUAAGCGCACAGGACCGCAUGGUCCGGUGUGAAAAAACUCCGGUGGUAUAAGAUGGACCCGCGUUGGAUUAGCUAGUUGGUGAGGUAACGGCCCACCAAGGCGACGAUCCAUAGCCGGCCUGAGAGGGUGAACGGCCACAUUGGGACUGAGACACGGCCCAGACUCCUACGGGAGGCAGCAGUGGGGAAUAUUGCACAAUGGGCGCAAGCCUGAUGCAGCAACGCCGCGUGGAGGAAGACGGUUUUCGGAUUGUAAACUCCUGUUCUUAGUGAAGAAUAAUGACGGUAGCUAAGGAGCAAGCCACGGCUAACUACGUG
This 485-nucleotide ribosomal RNA is filed under the name uncultured bacterium. Its description in RNAcentral is "bacterial SSU rRNA". It matches the Rfam family "Bacterial small subunit ribosomal RNA", at positions 23 to 507 of the family's 1533-position model. The record is from RNAcentral.